UGGCGAACGGGUGAGUAACACGUGGGUGAUCUGCCCUGCACUCUGGGAUAAGCCUGGGAAACUGGGUCUAAUACCGGAUAGGACCAUGCUUUAGUGUGUGUGGUGGAAAGUUUUUUCGGUGUAGGAUGAGCCCGCGGCCUAUCAGCUUGUUGGUGGGGUAAUGGCCUACCAGGGCGGCGACGGGUAGCCGGACUGAGAGGUUGGUCGGCCACAUUGGGACUGAGAUACGGCCCAG
Molecule: ribosomal RNA, 235 nt
Filed under: uncultured Actinomycetales bacterium
Lineage: Bacteria; Bacillati; Actinomycetota; Actinomycetes; Actinomycetales
Description: partial 16S ribosomal RNA
Rfam family: Bacterial small subunit ribosomal RNA
Source: RNAcentral